GACGAACGCUGGCGGCGUGCUUAACACAUGCAAGUCGAACGAAGAUCGACGGAAGCUUGCUUCUUUCACUCUUAGUGGCGAACGUGUGAGUAACGCGUAAUCAACCUGCCCUUCAGAGGGGGACAACAGUUGGAAACGACUGCUAAUACCGCAUACGAUCUAAUCUCGGCAUCGAGGAUGGAUGAAAGGUGGCCUCUACAUGUAAGCUAUCACUGCAGUAGGGGAUUGCGUCUGAUUAGCUAGUUGGAGGGGUAACGGCCAACCAAGGCGAUGAUCAGUAGGCGGUCUGAGAGGAGGAACGGCCAAAUUGGGACUGGGACAAGGCCCAGACUUCUACGGGAGGCAGCAGUGGGGAAUCUUCCGAAAUGGACGAAAGUCUGAAGGAGCAACGCCGCGUGAGGGAUGACGGCCUUCGGGUUGGAAAGCUCUGUUAAUCGGGACGAAAGGCCUUCUUGCGAAUAGUGAGAAGGAUUGACGGUACCGGAAUAGAAAGCCACGGCUAACUACGUG
RNAcentral lists this ribosomal RNA (510 nucleotides) under uncultured bacterium. RNAcentral describes it as "partial 16S ribosomal RNA". It matches the Rfam family "Bacterial small subunit ribosomal RNA", at positions 28 to 507 of the family's 1533-position model. The record is from RNAcentral.